This 2532-nucleotide long non-coding RNA is filed under the name Melopsittacus undulatus (budgerigar). Its description in RNAcentral is "lncRNA (ENSMUNG00000019228.1)". Lineage: Eukaryota; Metazoa; Chordata; Aves; Psittaciformes; Psittaculidae. The record is from RNAcentral.
CCUAGACCUGACACCCUCUCUGCCUCUUUAAACGCACUCAGAAAUAGCCCUGAACAUGAGACAAAAUGCUGAUGAACACCCUGCGGCCUGUAACAACCCCGCAGAUCCCUCCCCGCCGCUCUAAACUCACAGGACCCACCACAGCCGGUAGGCGGCACAGCCAGCCCAGACGAGGACCGGAGGAACCUCCCCCGGAGCCGAUCCUCACCAUCCCCCCACGCCUUUGGCCGGCUCUUGGCGCGGGCCCUAUGGGGCGCCCUCACGAUCUCCGACACGGUUAUACUCUGCGCCACCACCAAGCAGCAGCCACGGCUACUGCGGGAGGAAGCGAGGGUAGACUGACACCGCCCCCACCCACCCGCUUCCAGCCAGCAGCGCGGUGGCUACGUGAGACACGGAAGGACUCAGCGCAGGACUGGGAGUCGGGUCUUGGCCGCCUGGCCUGGGUGCUCUGCUGCCCCAGGGAGAAGCCGCUGGAGCUGAGGCCAAGCCCCACUGGAGCAGAAGUGAUUUCAACCGGUCACCACAUGGAUGAGCCCCUGCAGAGCUCAGUCCCUCCUUGCAGAAGACAUUGUAGUCGAAGAACUAAUGAUCUUGAACAGCUGGGAGUAACUGGAAACACCACAACACUGUCCAGACCAACAGUGUCUUCUGCCUGGAGAACCUACAAACAGGAUCAACAGCAUCUAGUUAUGUAUCCGUCAACUGUGACAUAACCAGGCUCACCUGAAAGAGAAAGCACAAAAAAAUUAGGUCUGCUUAUGAGAAGUGCUCAUUACAAGAUUCUACACUGGCCACCUGUGUUAAAGGGAUGGAAGGCAAUGGAGGAUGAGGCUGAAAGAGAUGUCUUGAUUCUAUGAUUCUAUGAUUUGUUGAAAAAACAAAGCAUUUUACCAAGUUCCAUCAUUUAAGUGCCACUGGGAAUUAUAUAGCUCAUGUUGUUGAAACAGUGAAGGGCCCAAACUGGAGAGGAGAUUGGUGGGAUCCCAAACUUGGACAUCCUUAAGCUCCACAAAUGCCUACAUACAGGGCUUUGAUCAGAACUUCUCCUUAGUGAAACCUUGUCUCCAGAGUCAAGAGUCCAGCUUCCCAGGAUCUUUCAGGGGCACCAGAAUUCACCUAAACCAGUCCCUUUAGAGAGCUAAAGCUCAUGAUCUGAUGGGGGAAAGCAAAAGCAGAGUUCUUCUGUGGAGCCAGACACCCCCUUGUUGUGGUUUAAAUCCAACCACACAGUCUCUCUCUCUCACCCCCCAGUCUGUCUUUCCUCCCAGCUUCCCCUCCUCCCCACCAUUUUUGUAGGCCCCUUUCAGACACUGGAAGCUGCUAGGAGGUUUUCAUGCAGCAUUCUUUUCUAUAGGCUGUACAGCCGCAACUUGCUCAUCCUGUCUUCAUAUAGGAGGUGCUCCAGCCCCCUUCUGUUGCCUUCAAAAGGCGUGAUGACCUGGUUCAGGAACAGCGCGAUGGCCCCCCCUUGGCUGCUCGGUCCAAAUGCUCACAGACACCAAUGUGGUGGACGGCAAAUGGUGUUUAUUGAAAAAGAACAUGGCAUUAUAUAGUCUAGGUUUACAACGUCACUUCCAUCUGCUUGUAUCAUAAAGCUUGCAUCAUAACCUAAAUGCUAUUGGCUAUCAGGAGAGGGGUCCUAUCUUUCCGUACAGCACGAUAUCUUCCGGCCGCCAGACCCUAUCUGCCUACAUUUCCCCCCUCCCUAUGCUUAAUUAACUUGGCUAAAAUGUAACAAUCUUAAAAAAUAUAUGUAUUGUAAGAAUAUACUAAAUACAUUCUACUCCUAUUCUUUGCUCUAUAACAGGCUUAGGAUAUAUAUCAGAAACUUGGAUAGAAAACAUAAGGCACACUAAGCAAGAGGUAACAGGAGGGCAACUGGGAAUAAUGGGGUAUAACUGGGGAUAAGUAAAGGAAAUUUUGAACAAGAACAUUCUUAAAGCAGUUGUUAGCUGCGUUUUUAAAGCAGUUGCUGGCGUUCUACUAACAUGAUGUUAACUUUCUCUAACCGGCUCCUUACAAACGACAUGAGCUUAUUCAGUAUACAUGGUCCAAAGAUUAAUGCAAGUAUGAUCAUUGCAAGUGGGCCUAUUAUGGUAGAUAGCAAAGUGGUCAGCCAUGGCGACUGAUUAAACCAUGACGUAAACCAAUUUUGUUGUUGUGCCUCUCGUUCUUUUUUCUGCUUUUCUAUUCCUUCUCAUAAUUUGGCCAUAGUAUCUCUCACUAUUCCGGUGUGGUCCACAUAUAUACAACACUCCUCCUUUAGUGCAGCACACACUCCCCCUUGUUGUAAGAACAUUAGAUCUAGACCUCUUAGAUUUUGCAACACGACUUCAGAUAGCGAUCUAACUGAUUGUUCCAAUGCACUUAUUGAUUGUUCAAUUCUGGCUAGGUCUUCAUCUACCGCCAUCCUUAGGGCAUGAAUUCCGUACUCUGAUGCACUAAGGUUGCUACUCCUGUACCUAUUCCCCCCAUUCCCAUGAGCAUUAGAAGACCUACGGUUAUGCUGUAAAGGGUUCUCGUUUCGUU